AGAGAAUCUCGAGUUUAUGGACUUCAGGGGGAGUCUGUUCAUAAGCGCUGAAACUUAAAGGAAUUGACGGAAGGGCACACCAGGAGUGGAGCCUGCGGCUUAAUUUGACUCAACACGGGAAAACUUACCAAGACCGAACAGUAGAAGGAAUGACAGAUUAAGAGUUCUUUCAUGAUUUAUUGGGUAGUGGUGCAUGGCCGUUCUUAGUUGGUGGAGUGAUUUGUCAGGUUAAUUCCGGUAACGAACGAGACUGAAACCUAUUAAUUAGUUUCCUGCCUAUACGACAGGAAUCUCCGCAAGGUCAGGUGCCUCGGUACCACUUCUUAAAGGGACACAUUUCAAUUGUCUCAUUUUAAUCGAUGUCUCUGGCUCCGGUCAAAACUCUUUUAACGUGAGAAAAAGAAAAAGGAAGCAUUCAGCAAUAACAGGUCUGUGAUGCCCUUAGACAUCUUGGGCCGCACGCGCGCUACAAUGGAGUUACUAGAGAGUAUUUUAUCAUCCAAGCCUUAUAUUG
RNAcentral lists this ribosomal RNA (514 nucleotides) under Entamoeba moshkovskii. RNAcentral's name for it is "SSU rRNA". It matches the Rfam family "Eukaryotic small subunit ribosomal RNA", at positions 1089 to 1541 of the family's 1831-position model. The record is from RNAcentral. Lineage: Eukaryota; Evosea; Mastigamoebida; Endamoebidae.